Long non-coding RNA from Vigna angularis (adzuki bean), 440 nucleotides. RefSeq lists it as uncharacterized. NCBI's taxonomy places the organism in Eukaryota, Viridiplantae, Streptophyta, Magnoliopsida, Fabales, Fabaceae. The transcript has 2 exons. The record is from RefSeq and is a predicted model, not a curated record.
CAAUCCCUUCUACAAUCCCGCAUUCAUUAUUACCAUUUUCCCUUCUCUUCCCACCUUCACACACCAUCUGAGAUACUAUUCUUUUAAUCAACUUUUAUGGCCUCUUUCAAAUCAAAGCUUGAAAGAUUAGAUCCACUUGAAAAAAAAAACAAAAAGAAGAAGAUGAAGAACAGAACAUGACAAGCCACGUGGUCAGUUGAUGCCACAAAUACAACCUCAAACAAGUCCUCCUCGUAAAGCAUCGUCUUCCCCACUAACACUCCAAUUUCAAAGUACGCACAAACAAAGACAAUUACAGAAUUAGACAAAAAUAAAAUAGAAGGAUAACGGAGUGAGAAUCUUGAGAGGUGGGGACAUGCAUGAUGAUCGAGAUCACACAUCACAUCCCCUAAUUUGAGCCUGUCAAUCUCAGCCAAUUAUAUGAUCUUCUCUUCAUUUAA